Triticum urartu is the source of this 1649-nucleotide non-coding RNA. NCBI's taxonomy places the organism in Eukaryota, Viridiplantae, Streptophyta, Magnoliopsida, Poales, Poaceae. The record is from RefSeq and is a predicted model, not a curated record.
GAUGCGACCACCAGCUGUUUGUAUAAAUCCUCACGGAGGACUGCUCUGGGGAGGACAUCACGUGUGUUUGAAAGAGAGGGAUGGAAAAGAGGGGGCUGGAGUGAGAGGAGAAGAGGAAGGAAUUGAACCACAUGUUAUUUCUUUGUCAUCAACGUCAUCCCACCAUUGUAGAGAUUUUCUUGGAUGACAUGCGGCCCAUACUCUCGCCCCUUGUCCUCCAUCUCUGUUGGUACCCUUUCAUGGUUUCUUGUCCACUUCUUUCAUGAUUUAUUCUUUUCAAAUAGUAAUUCAGGCUGUUAUACUAAUUUGAUUGAUGUGGGUGGUGUAAUAAUUCAGGUCGUGCAGGAUGGUCUGCUAAUUUCCCUGAUGCUUCAUCAGGUUUCGCUUUUUGAUACAUUGAUUGAUUCCCAAUUUGAUGCAAAUAACCAAAAUGAAUGAAUUGAUGUGGCUGUUAUAAUAAAUUUUCCUUAUUUUGUAUGUGAUUAUGCUCAGGUUUUGGAAGCAUCGGGCUAAGGGGUGAUUAUGCUCAGGUUUUGAUGCAGUGAGAUUCAGAUAAUUUUAAGAAACACAUGUAAAGGAGUCCAAACAGGACGGGCUCGGUGUACAUGGUUUUCAGUUAAUGCAGUUUAGGUCUGACCAUCACAAGUGGCAAUAGGCAGUAGUGGAGAAGGCAUGAAGAGGCCCACAUCUGAAAAUCUCAACUAUUCUAGGAUUUUUGAGCUGCUGACCAUGUGAUUGGUAGCCGACGAUUUCUUCAUGGGUUGCUGAUUUCUCAAGUUUUGCCUCACACAAAAGAGGGCUAGCAACACCUUUGACAGAAACAGCCAACAUUCAGUGCAGAUCCGAUAUAUUCUGGUUGUCUUCCAUUUAGUUGACGGCAUGCAAGACUGAUCUGAUGCAUCUACUGCUUGUUGACUUGGUUAUAUUUAUCUAUAAAGUGGCAGUGGUGCAGAAUAUAUCCUCUGCCAUGGAAGGAGGUAUUUGAUGCUGUCAGAUGGCAUAUAGGUCAAUAAUGAGGUGACUGCCGGGGUAAUCUCAGGAAGGGACAAUGACACAAAUUAACUUUGUUGACAAGCUCACGAUCACGGGGAACAAGCCGUCCUGCAGUGUUUCCAUGUACUGCAAGUUGACGACAAGUUCAUUGUUGAUGCCAUGCAAUUUCUUACAAAAAUACAUGUGGUACAGGUAUGAAGGCCGACACUGAUUAUCAAGUGAAAGUGCAAGUAUGUAUCACAAUAAUGCCUGGAAAUCAGCCAGUGGCUGGAUUAUUUGAGCUAUUUUGGCGUCUCUGCCAUCCUAUAGUUGUUCAGUUUUCUCUUUUGAAACGAGGCUAUCUAGAGGAUUUCAUGUUGUGGUUUAGGAAGUCCCAUGUGCAUACUUUUUGCAGGCAUCAGUGAAGAUUGGGAGGUAGAGAGGGAUUGCUCAAGUGGAAACAGAUCAAGAACCAGAAGGAGCUCAAGAUUUCGCUACUUCCUUGGUAAUAGCUUUGUGAGAUCAGUUAAAUAUUAUCCAGGACCAUGCACCCGCCCUUGACAAUGGCUUCCAGAAGCUAAGGUUGCAGGGGUGAAUUAAAGUUCGAUUUUCCAGCAGCGAGGUAACUACUACCGAUGGAGAUCAAACUAAUGAGCUCAUGAAAAAAACUAUAAACA